AUUUAUAUAGUUUAAAUAAAACCUUAUAUUUUCAUUAUAAAAUUAGAAUCUAAAUUCUUAUAAAUA
Molecule: transfer RNA, 66 nt
Filed under: Anthobium melanocephalum
Lineage: Eukaryota; Metazoa; Arthropoda; Insecta; Coleoptera; Staphylinidae
Description: tRNA-Glu
Source: RNAcentral